ACGAGACCUUCGGGUCUAGUGGCGCACGGGUGCGUAACGCGUGGGAAUCUGCCCUUAGGUACGGAAUAACUCAGAGAAAUUUGUGCUAAUACCGUAUGAUGUCGAAAGACCAAAGAUUUAUCGCCUAAGGAUGAGCCCGCGUAAGAUUAGCUUGUUGGUGAGGUAAAAGCUCACCAAGGCGACGAUCUUUAGCUGGUCUGAGAGGAUGAUCAGCCACACUGGGACUGAGACACGGCCCAGACUCCUACGGGAGGCAGCAGUGGGGAAUAUUGGACAAUGGGCGAGAGCCUGAUCCAGCAAUGCCGCGUGAGUGAUGAAGGCCUUAGGGUUGUAAAGCUCUUUUACCAGGGAUGAUAAUGACAGUACCUGGAGAAUAAGCUCCGGCUAACUCCGUGCCAGCAGCCGCGGUAAUACGGAGGGAGCUAGCGUUGUUCGGAAUUACUGGGCGUAAAGAGUACGUAGGCGGUUAUUCAAGUCAGAGGUGAAAGCCUGGAGCUCAACUCCAGAACUGCCUUUGAAACUAGAUAGCUAGAAUCUUGGAGAGGUGAGUGGAAUUCCGAGUGUAGAGGUGAAAUUCGUAGAUAUUCGGAAGAACACCAGUGGCGAAGGCGACUCACUGGACAAGUAUUGACGCUGAGGUACGAAAGCGUGGGAGCAAACAGGAUUAGAUACCCUGGUAGUCCACGCCGUAAACGAUGAUAACUAGCUGUUCGGGCUCUACGAGCUUGAGUGGCGCAGCUAACGCAUUAAGUUAUCCGCCUGGGGAGUACGGUCGCAAGAUUAAAACUCAAAGGAAUUGACGGGGGCCUGCACAAGCGGUGGAGCAUGUGGUUUAAUUCGAAGCAACGCGCAGAACCUUACCAGCGUUUGACAUCCNAAUCGCGGUUUUCAGAGAUGAUUACCUUCAGUUCGGCUGGNNUANUGACAGGUGCUGCAUGGNUG
Molecule: ribosomal RNA, 942 nt
Filed under: uncultured bacterium
Lineage: Bacteria
Description: bacterial SSU rRNA
Rfam family: Bacterial small subunit ribosomal RNA
Source: RNAcentral